Molecule: ribosomal RNA, 220 nt
Filed under: uncultured organism
Description: partial 16S ribosomal RNA
Rfam family: Bacterial small subunit ribosomal RNA
Source: RNAcentral
GAUUCGCCCGCCGCGCCCCGCGCCCGUCCCGCCGCCCCCGCCCGCUCCUACGGGAGGCAGCAGUGGGGGAUAUUGCACAAUGGGGGAAACCCUGAUGCAGCGACGCCGCGUGAGGGAAGACGGUUUUCGGAUUGUAAACCUCUGUCUUUGGGGACGAACAAAUGACGGUACCCAAGGAGGAAGCCACGGCUAACUACGUGCCAGCAGCCGCGGUAAUACA